UGGAAAUCCUGAGAAUCAGAUGGUGUCAUCAGCACAAUAAUGGGACACCCCAUUAUUACCAAAGAUGUCCAUGUCCUACUUCUCUGAACCUGUGACUAUAUUACCUUACAUGGCAAAAGGGACUUUACAAAUGUUACUAAGUUAAGGAUCAUGAUAUGAGAAUAUUAUCCAGGAUUAUCCUGAUAGGCUCAAUGUAAUCACAAGGACUGUGAAAGAGGGAACCAGGAGAGACAGAGUAAUUUGGAGAUGAUUUGCAGUUUGGCUUUAAAGAUGGAGAAAGAUGGAGAAAGAGAACAUGGCUUUAAAGAUGGAGAAAGAGGUCCUGAGAUAAGGAAUUCAGUUGGUCUCUAGAAGAUGGAAAAGGAAGCUAACUCUACAGCAGAAGCAGUGAGUCACAAGGACAAGAACCAAAUGAUAUGGACGACCCCAUCACAACAACUCAAGCUGGUGUAAACAUUCUCACAUGGCAUGAGAAUGAAACAUAAUGCAGUGCUCCCUCUCCCCAGACCUGGGUCAC
Molecule: long non-coding RNA, 517 nt
Filed under: Homo sapiens (human)
Lineage: Eukaryota; Metazoa; Chordata; Mammalia; Primates; Hominidae
Description: HSALNT0370132
Source: RNAcentral